RNAcentral lists this long non-coding RNA (476 nucleotides) under Homo sapiens (human). Its description in RNAcentral is "non-protein coding MAGEA8-AS1:2". Lineage: Eukaryota; Metazoa; Chordata; Mammalia; Primates; Hominidae. The record is from RNAcentral.
ACUUUGAGAUCUGGCAGAGCCUGGAGCUCCGUACUCUGCUGAUGGUGUCUGCUUCCCUCAGACCAAGUUGUUAUUAGCAGAAUUCUGGAGCCAUGGUGUCUCAAUCAAUCCAAUUUUCCUGGUGUCCUGAUAUUACCCCUGGGCUACUGGCUUCGUGUUUUGAGUUGAUUUUGGGAGUAGAGCACAGCAGCCUGGGCUUGAUUGUCACUUUGGCAGCUACAGCAUUCACUGCAGCUGUGAACGGUAGCAGUGAAAGCAUACAUCAAUGACUUGCUCCUGACGAGAAUGGGAAUGCUUCUAACAUUUCACAUUCAAGAGAAGGAGCCUUGGAGAAUUCGUUGAAUAAUUGCCCGUAUUUUGGGAUUAUUUGGAAGAGUUAAUAUGGUGAUUCGUUUUCCCUGACCACUUGGGGGAACUGACCCACAAAACUGCCUGCCUUAGAACGGUAGAGGGUGGAUUGAGCUUUAAAUACAUUU